AUAAAACAUAGUAUCUAUAUCCCAGUAAAUUAUAUUACAUACAUGCCAGUUUGGUUCCCUAAAGCAAAAAAAUAUUUCAUGUUGGAAACGGGGAAUAUUUCUCACACCCAAUGAUAACUUCACUUCUAACCAUUUAAUAAAUGCAUUUGCUUCAGUUAGAUUGUCAACUGGAGAUUACACAAAUGAACCAGUUCAGGUUUGUCAAGUGAUCACCCAUUACCAAUGAUGCAUUUAUUACUCUAAAAGUUUCAUCAAUAUUAUGAGCAUUUAUUUAUUUAUAUUAUUAUUAUUUUUAAUCAUUCCUUUAGCUAGAGUGUGUUGGAGAAAGAACAUCUGAUUGGUUCAAUGGGACAGUAUCAGUGGAUCAGACUGUUGGGAACAAAACCAGCUUUGUAAUAAUCUAUGAACUAAGCUUUCCUAGCGUUUACAUACAGUCACCAAGUGGCUUAAUCUACACUCAGACAAAUACGAGUUGUGAUGUAUCGCUGAAUACUGUCACUUUGUAUGUUCCAGGAGCUGCAGAGGUGAGACAACCUUUAUAACCUAGUUAUUUGUUUAGUUUUUAUCUUAAACCAUAAACAUACAAGCAUACACAAUAUCUGGGUCAAGAAUUAUAGAUCAACAUUAUCGAAAUAUGUUCAACAACAACUUCAGAUUAAGAAGAGGUUUAUCACAGAUGAUUCAGCCUGGUGACUAGAAGUACAGUAUCCAAACUAAAAUACUUCAGGCUUUGACUCUAACAGUAACGAGUCAAGCAGCACAAGCUGAUGUUCCUCCUAUCAUUGUCAAAACCCACAUGAACCAGCAGUUCAGUGAUGGCACUAAACCCAUGAUAGUGUUUGCUGAGGUUAGUCAGAAUUACAGGCCUGUCAUAAAUGCUGAAGUGUGGGCUACACUGGAGUCAGAAACUAGGUCUCCACAAACAUUACAACUCCUGGACAGUGGAGCAGGUAAAUGUCCUAUAAUUCAUAUUCCAGGUGUGCACUUAACUUGUAGGGAACUUGAAGGUGUUUUCCAAACUCUGCCAAAUAGAUCAGAGAUCCAUCUUUUACAGGAGCUGAUUCUUUUCAAGAUGAUGGAAUCUAUUCCAGAAUAUUUACAUACACAUUUACAUACACUUACAUUUACAUACAUACAUAUCAAAUAAUACUGUUUGGUCCGAGUGAUUUUUAUGACUUUGGCAAUCUGGACCUUGGCGAUUUAAGUUCUUAUGUUAAUCCAUGUGUGAAAAAUGUAGGUGUGUUUUUUGAUUCAGGUCCCAAGUUCGACAAACAAAUUAAUUCUGUUGUCAAAUUAAGGAUUUUUUUUUUUUUCCAUCUACGACGUCUUGCUAGAGUUAAAGCUUUUCUCUCUCCAAAGAAUGUUGAAAUAUUUAUUCAUGCAUUCAUUACUUUAUGCCUUGACUACUUUAAUUCACUCUAUCAUGGAGCAAACCAAGCAUCUAUUGGGCGUCUUCAAAUGGUUCAAAAUGCUGCAGCCAGGCUGCUGACUGGUAGUCGAAGAUACGAUCACAUUACUCCUAUUUUAACUACUUUGCACUGGCUACCAGUCAAACUGAGAAUAGAAUUUAAAAUUUUAGUUUUUGUUUUUAAAGCACUAUGCGACCUAGCCCCAAAGUACUUAUCAGACAUUCUACGCUGACACAACCCAUCCAGGUCACUUAGAUCCGGCAGCCUUGGGUUACUUUUUGUUUGUAGAUCAAGGCUAAAACAUUGUGGAGAUCGAGCCUUUGCGACAGCGGGCCCUAAACUCGGGAAUAGCCUACUGGUAUCUAUCCGAACGGUGCCAUCACUCUCCUCUUUUAAAUCAAAACUUAAAGGUGCUGUAUGUAGGAUUGACACCGAGUGGUUGAACUAGGUAUUGCAAUUCAAAUUCAAAAUAUUGGAGAGGGUUUUUUUUUCACCUGGCCCCUCCUCCUCAGACUUGACGCACAUGCAGGUUGCCAGAUUGACGACACCAACAAGAACAAGCGCACUUGACGAUGAAUGAAAUGAACUACGCUGUGUUUUCCGUCAUCUGCCAACCCUGGGUGCCGAAAUACAAUUGGUUAAACUGGCAGUGGGCGGGUUUCACAAACCAAAACAGAGGCCGACAUUCCGGCCCGGAACGCACAUUUUCCAAGGAGAAUUACUGACUGUAGCAUUGUUUUUCAGAUAAACAAGCAUGUUUCUUAAAUAUCUGCAAACAUAUUAUGGUAUUUGUAUGCUUUAGUAGAGUCAAAAACUAAUUUUCUUAGUGUGGGUUCCUAAUGUAUAUUCUUAUUUAUUGUAUAGUUUUAUGUUUGUUGCUUUAUAGAUUGUAAUUUUUCAUUUUUUAUUUGUUGUUUCUUGAUCUGUACAGCACUUUGGUCUACCUUUGGUUGUCUUUUAAAUGUGCUCUAAAAAUAAUGAAUGAAUUAAUUAAUUAAUGAAUGAACUAGUCUUCAGUGUCCAAAUACCAGCAAAUGUAUCUGAGUAAAUCAUGAUAUUCAGUGCCA
Molecule: long non-coding RNA, 2476 nt
Organism: Cyprinus carpio carpio
Lineage: Eukaryota; Metazoa; Chordata; Actinopteri; Cypriniformes; Cyprinidae
Source: Ensembl